Long non-coding RNA from Eriocheir sinensis (Chinese mitten crab), 997 nucleotides. RefSeq lists it as uncharacterized. The record is from RefSeq and is a predicted model, not a curated record. The transcript is spliced from 2 exons. Lineage: Eukaryota; Metazoa; Arthropoda; Malacostraca; Decapoda; Varunidae.
UUCAUGAAUACGUAAAUGGAUAAAUAAUAUACAAACACACACACACACACACACACACACACACACACACACACACACACAGUCACGAACACAACGCUUUCUCUGACCACGUGACUUGGAUUGACCUAUUCCUCCUCCUCCUCCUCCUCCUCCUAAAAGAAAGAAAAUGUGCCUCGGGCUGUCUCGGAACGUCGGUGCUGCUUAGAAUGCGGUGCUUCGAAGAGAGGAGGAGGAGGAGGAGGAGGAGGAGGGAAAGAUUUAGGAGGAAGGUACGAUAGGAAGGAAGGUAAAAUGAAAGAAAGAAAACACCCCCGAAAAAACUUAUCAGGAAACAUCAGUAUACGAAGAAAGAAGAAUGGAAUGCAAGGAUGAAUAAAAGAAAAUGGGUAGGAGGUGAAGAAAAGAAAAUGGGUAGGUGAAGAAAAGAAAAUGGGUAGAAGGUGACGAAAAGAAAAUGGGUAAGUGAAGAAAAGAAAAUGGGUAGGAGGUGAAGAAGAGGAAAUCGAAGAAGAGUUAUAUGAUGACGAAUAUGAGAGAAGGACCGGAGGAGGAGGAGGAAGAGGAGAGCGAAAGAAGGAAAAAAGCAUUGCGUAAAAAGAAGACAGAUAAUUAUGAUAUAAGUAAAGAAGAACGGAAGAGCAAUGAAACAAAGUGAAAAUGCGCUAAAAGAAAAAAAAACAAAGAAAAACGAAAGAAUAAUAUAUGUAAAUUAGAAGAAAAAAAUAAGAAAAGGAAAAGAUAAUGAAGAAAAUAGGACAAAGAGGAGGACGACACAGAUCAUGAGGAAAAAUAUAAUGAAAAAAUAUAUAUAACCAGAACUAGACAAAAAAAGAAACACCAUUAUGAAAGAAAAGCCAGAACAGUAAAUAAACAAUGAGAAAAAAAGAAUAAACAAAAUAACAACAACAAACAGAACACGAGGCUUUUGUUGUGUCAUCUUUUUUACCCUGCCAUAAAAAAAUAAUACCAACAAACAAACAAACAAACAGCUGAUGCC